GCCAGAGAUGGCAGGCCCGUCCCCCUGGGCCUCUCAUAGUGUCCCAGGCCACAGCAAAGGUGGCCCCGAGCCAUGGCCUGGCCUCUGCCAUAGGCUGCAGGCACCGAAGUUGGUCACACACUG
This 123-nucleotide small nucleolar RNA is filed under the name Suricata suricatta (meerkat). RNAcentral describes it as "Small nucleolar RNA SNORA42/SNORA80 family (ENSSSUG00005021100.1)". It matches the Rfam family "Small nucleolar RNA SNORA42/SNORA80 family". Rfam says of the family: The members of this family belong to the H/ACA class of snoRNAs that guide the sites of modification of uridines to pseudouridines. Human ACA42 (SNORA42) was cloned from HeLa cells by immunoprecipitation with anti-GAR1 antibody. The record is from Rfam by way of RNAcentral. Lineage: Eukaryota; Metazoa; Chordata; Mammalia; Carnivora; Herpestidae.